AAUUGGUAUCCUUAGUCGUGGUCU
This 24-nucleotide microRNA is filed under the name Caenorhabditis briggsae. RNAcentral's name for it is "Cbr-Mir-358-v2_3p (mature (guide))". The record is from RNAcentral. Lineage: Eukaryota; Metazoa; Nematoda; Chromadorea; Rhabditida; Rhabditidae.